RNAcentral lists this non-coding RNA (145 nucleotides) under Oscillatoriales cyanobacterium. The record is from RNAcentral. RNAcentral also lists the same sequence under 1 other name. Lineage: Bacteria; Bacillati; Cyanobacteriota; Cyanophyceae; Oscillatoriales.
UCUUAGACCAGAACUAUCGGUUCUGAUGGGGAGCAGCCAUCAGACGCAAGGGGGAAAGUGCAGUGUGAAUCUGCCGCUGUCCCGCAGCUGUGAAGAGAGGCGCAACUCUCUGAGUCAGAAUGCCCGCCGAGUCAUAAACCCAUUA